AUUUGAUAGUAGAAGAUUCACGAAUUGAGAAACCCCUAACCCUACUGCUACAGAGAGAAAAACAAAGGGAAGAAGAAAGAGGUGUGGUAUUAGCGGUGGCUUUAAGAACAAAAUAUCUUACAACUAAUGGCUUAUUUUUUGGAUUGAUUUUAAGGUGUUUUGAAGCUGUAAAUUGGUGAUUUUGAGGGCUGAUGUCAGCAAGUUUUGGGGACGUUUUGGGGCUAGAAUUUGCUGUAUUUUUCAGUGAUUUUA
This 252-nucleotide long non-coding RNA is filed under the name Nicotiana benthamiana. Its description in RNAcentral is "long non-coding RNA (NBEN_LNC022434)". Lineage: Eukaryota; Viridiplantae; Streptophyta; Magnoliopsida; Solanales; Solanaceae. The record is from RNAcentral.